Molecule: ribosomal RNA, 253 nt
Filed under: uncultured bacterium
Lineage: Bacteria
Description: partial 16S ribosomal RNA
Rfam family: Bacterial small subunit ribosomal RNA
Source: RNAcentral
UACGGAGGGUGCAAGCGUUAUCCGGAUUCACUGGGUUUAAAGGGUGCGUAGGCGGGCAGGUAAGUCCGUGGUGAAAUCUCCAAGCUUAACUUGGAAACUGCCGUGGAUACUAUUUGUCUUGAAUAUAGUGGAGGUGAGCGGAAUAUGUCAUGUAGCGGUGAAAUGCGUAGAUAUUGGGAAGAACACCGGUGGCGAAGGCGGCUCACUGGCUCAUUUCUGACGCUCAGGCGCGACAGCGUGGGGAUCAAACAGG